RNAcentral lists this ribosomal RNA (253 nucleotides) under uncultured bacterium. Its description in RNAcentral is "partial 16S ribosomal RNA". It matches the Rfam family "Bacterial small subunit ribosomal RNA", at positions 524 to 776 of the family's 1533-position model. The record is from RNAcentral.
UACGGGGGGUGCGAGCGUUGUCCGGAAUCACUGGGCGUAAAGGGCGCGUAGGCGGCCCGCUAAGUCGAACGUGAAAUCCCCAGGCUCAACCUGGGAACUGCGUCCGAUACUGGCAGGCUUGAAUCCGGGAGAGGGAUGUGGAAUUCCAGGUGUAGCGGUGAAAUGCGUAGAUAUCUGGAGGAACACCGGUGGCGAAGGCGGCAUCCUGGACCGGUAUUGACGCUGAGGCGCGAAAGCUAGGGGAGCAAACGGG